This 253-nucleotide ribosomal RNA is filed under the name uncultured bacterium. RNAcentral describes it as "partial 16S ribosomal RNA". It matches the Rfam family "Bacterial small subunit ribosomal RNA", at positions 524 to 776 of the family's 1533-position model. The record is from RNAcentral.
UACAGAGGUCCCGAGCGUUGUUCGGAUUCACUGGGCGUAAAGGGUGCGUAGGUGGCUUUGCAAGUCUGAUGUGAAAUCUCCAGGCCCAACCUGGAAACUGCAUUAGAAACUGUGAGGCUAGAGGCUUGGAGGGGGAACUGGAAUGCUCGGUGUAGCAGUGAAAUGCGUAGAGAUCGAGCGGAACGCCAGUGGCGAAGGCGAGUUCCUGGACAAGUCCUGACACUGAGGCACGAAAGCCAGGGGAGCAAACAGG